RNAcentral lists this ribosomal RNA (653 nucleotides) under Polybetes pythagoricus. Its description in RNAcentral is "eukaryotic LSU rRNA". The stretch from base 452 to 653 matches the Rfam family "Eukaryotic large subunit ribosomal RNA", at positions 665 to 834 of the family's 3401-position model. Lineage: Eukaryota; Metazoa; Arthropoda; Arachnida; Araneae; Sparassidae. The record is from RNAcentral.
GAUUCAGUCUGGUGGCGCGGAGCGUGCUGGUCGGAAAAACAGAGCAGGGAUUCCCCGAACGGGGUCCGUCCGGCCGCRCGAAUCUCUCGCCACCCGACGCAUUUGUCUUCCGCCCGAAGGACGCCGCAGCCGGUUGGGUAGCUGCAAGCGCGACGGCCAGGAGGGCGGACGAUGGCAGGUGGCCGGYGGCGGGGCUCGUCCCCUUCGCCGGUUGUUAGCCGGUCCGCCAGUGGCUCGUCACCCGACCGAGGUGUCACUAGGCCYUUCGGGGCUGCAACGUUUCCUCCUCUGGAAGUCGGGACAGAGCGUCGCAGGCGAAUCCCGCCGCGAGGUCGCACUCCCGAGAGUGGACCACCGAGCGGGGCGCACCGCUGGCGACGCCGGACCCGUCGGAGGCCGGAGGCUGGCGGCGAGUAGGUCGGUCACCCACCCGACCCGUCUUGAAACACGGACCAAGGAGUCUAACAUGUGCGCGAGUCAAUGGGUCUUGAACAGGCCCAUGGGCGCAAUGAAAGCRAAGGUCGUCUCAGCGGCGACCGAGUUGGGAUCCGGUCUCCCCCGCGGAACCGGCGCAUCAACGACCCGUCCUAUCCGGCUCGCCGGUUGGGUGGAGUGUGAGCGUACACGUUGGGACCCGAUAGAUGGUGAACUAU